CCUCCGUCCCGGGCGCCGGGAGGCGGCUGCAGGGACACAGGGGGACAGCCGCUCGGCCUCGCUCCCCGCCUGGGAGACACGUUGGCGGGUGUGCUGGGAGAAGCUUCAUAACCCUCUUCCGGAGAACUCCAUCGGGUCUCCAGGAAAAGGGGGGCGCUCGGAAAGGUUACGGGAGGCCGCUAGGAGCAGAAUCCUAAAUGGCUGUUGUGGGUCCUUCUAGUUGUGGCGUGUGGGAUGCCGCCUCAGCGUGGCCUGAUGAGUGGUGCCGUGUCCUCGCCCAGGAUCCGAACCGGCGAAAUCCUGGGCCGCCGCAGCGGAGCGCGAACUUAGCCACUCGGCCGCGGGGCCCGCCGCUAUGAUGCAACUUUCGGACCCUCCGAUUCUAGAAGGAGCGAACCCACAGGCUCCUGUUGAUACUUAUGGCUGCGAGCUCUCCUCACUCUUUUGUUGUGUCACCUUUCUUGUGAAUUGAGAUACAAUUGACAUACAAUGUAUUAGUUUCAGGCAGACAAGGUGAGGAUUCCCACGAUCGUCACCCUAAGUCUGGCGAACAUCCAUCACGACACAUAGUUGCAAAUUUUUUUUCUUGAGAUAAGGACUUUCAAGGUCUUAGCGGCUUUCACAUACACGACACAGUGUUAUUAACUCUAGCCGCCACACUGUGUGUCACAUCCCCAGCACUUCGUUAUUUUACAGCUGGAAGUUUGUACCUUUUGAGCCCGUCACCCAUUUCGCCCACCUCUGGCCACCGCCAAUCUGUUCUCUGCAUCUAUGAGCUCGAUAUUUUUUUUUUUUUUCCAGAUUCUGUGUGGAAGGGAGAUCAUACGAAGAGAUGCGACCUGAUUUGGAAAUGGAGUCUUUGCAGAUCUGAUGGAGGGAAGAUGAAAUCGUCCUGGAGCGGGGUGGCCCUAAUCCACAACUGUGUCCCUUCUAAGAAGAGGGGAAUUUGGACGCAGACACACAGGGACACGGCCGCGUGACGACGGAGGCAGAGUUUGGAGGGACGUGUCCCCGAGCCGGGGGACGCCAACGAUUGCCAGCGACCACCAGAAGCUGGAAGAGGCAGGAAGGACCCUCCCCUGGAGCCUCCUGAGAGAGUGUGUCCCUGUGACACCUUGAUUUGGGACUUCUGGCCUCUGGAACGGUGAGGAAACAAAUUCCUGUUCUUUGAGGCCGCCCCGUCUGUGGUCAUUUGCCACAGCAGCCCCAGAAAACCGCUAACUCAGUCACUCGGGACAGAUCUGGGCACACGGCGCCGGGAGGGCCACCAGGCCAGGGACACGGACAAGGACCGGCUGCCUCACACGGGAGCUCCAACAGGGAGCCCCACCCGGUAGCCUCUCUAGAGCCCCCACAGGCCAGUCCCCACGUUUAUUAUAAAAUGGCAGAUAAAGCUCAGCGACCACGCGAAGCCGACUCAGGCGCUGGCGCUCGAAGGAGGAGGGACCGCAGCCUCAUGCACGGCUGGUGGGGGUGUUCACGGGGCAGCCCCCCUGGGAAACAGGACGGUGGGUCCUCAGAAGUCAAACAAAGAACCACCACGUGAGCCAGCAGUUCCACUCCUGGGUAUAGACCGAAAAGAAUUGAAAUCCGGGACGUGGAGAGAUCCGCGCGCCUGUGUCCAGAGCAGCGUGAUUCACAGGAAAGGAGGAAGCACCCCGAGCAUCCAGCCACGGAUGAUGGACACUCACAGCGAGGUCCGUCCACACCCUGGAAUAUUACGCAGCCGUGAAAAGGAAGGAGAUCCUGACUCCUGCUCCCACGUGGACGGACCUGGAGGACGUGAUGCUCAAUGACAUCAGCCAGACACAGAGGGACACACACUGUGUGGUCCACUCACAGGAGGUCCCCAGAGGAGCCACAUCCACAGAG
Equus caballus (horse) is the source of this 1872-nucleotide long non-coding RNA. The record is from Ensembl. Lineage: Eukaryota; Metazoa; Chordata; Mammalia; Perissodactyla; Equidae.